CUUUCGAGCCUGGUAUGCUCUAGAGAUGUCUGCAUGCAGAUAUUCUCCACUGUAGCAGAAGAACUCUCAUCAAUGUGUUCGCACAUCUCCUCAAUCCAUGCAGCCAUUUUUUCUGCCAGCUUCUCUUCGUGUCUCCCAUAAAGUCGACAUCAACAGGACUGGGCAAUUCUGAAAACACCUCGGAGCCUCAACAGUAAGCUGAUGACAGGCAGUUCUUCCACUUUCUGCCCUUUCAGUUUCUGGAAACUGACCCGUGAACUCAGGUAUUUGGGCAGCAGCAGUAUCUCGAAAUUACUCAGCUACCCGAACAAAAGACCUAAGCCAAUCUCCACAUAGGGCAGCAGACCCACCAUCAAACUGAUCCACCCACAGAAUUCUGCCCAGUUUCCUUGGAUCCACCAGCCGCAAUAAGCCUCGUGGUUCACACCAACAUUCCACCUGGAAUCCAACAGACAUCAGUAAUCAUGGACCCGUUCUUGGAGCAGAGAAUCGAGUAAAUUUCUCAAGUACAAGUUCACACUCAGUAUGUUUCUGCCAGUAUCAGCGUGGUUCAUUAGCUCUCAUGAAUUUCUUUCGACCCUGGUAUACUCUAGAGAUGUCUCCAUGACUAUAUUCUUCACUGUAGCAGAACAACUCUCAUCAAUGUGUUCGCACAUCUCCUCAAUCCAUGCAGCCAGCUUUUCUUCCAACUUCUCUUCUUGUCUCCCAUAAAGUCGACGUCAACAAGAAUGGGCAAGUCUGAACGUACCUCGGAGCCUCAGCAUUAAUCUGAUGACAGGUAGUUCUUCCACUGUAUGCCCUGUCAGAUUCUGGAAACUGACCCGUGAACUCAGGUCUUUGGGCAGCAACAGCAUCUCCAACUUACACAGCUUCCCGAACCAAAGACUUAAGCCAAUCUCCACAUAGGGCGGCAGCCCCUCCAUCACACAGAUCCACCAACAGAAUUCUGCCCAGUUACAUUGGAUCCACCAGCCGCAACAAGCCUCAUGGUACACACCAACAUUCUACCUGGAAUCCAACCGGUUUUCUGAGGCCUCAUCCUGUCUUUGGAAUAACAGACCACUCUUCGUCAAGUGUCCUGUGCCAAGGGCUGGGUGAGUGGAUGUUUACAAUGCUGUGUGUAUGGGAGCGAGUGAGAGCAGUUUGCACUGA
Long non-coding RNA from Camelus dromedarius (Arabian camel), 1152 nucleotides. RefSeq lists it as uncharacterized. NCBI's taxonomy places the organism in Eukaryota, Metazoa, Chordata, Mammalia, Artiodactyla, Camelidae. The transcript is spliced from 3 exons. The record is from RefSeq and is a predicted model, not a curated record.